GCCACGACUCAAAAACAAAUUUUCUGAAGAACCGGAUUUUACCGUCAAAAGUCUUUAAAAAAGACUUAAAAAGCCGUAAAAAGGACUUAAAAAGACCAACUGAUCACUUCAAAUCGUCAAAAGCAUCUUUGUAAAGUAACUGCUUAAGUAAGUUGAAGAUAUUACAGCGAAAAGCAGUGGGGGAAAAUGCAAUCGGCAUCUUUUGAAUGUGACUUCUUUGCGAUUGAUCGUGGAAAGUGGUUUCCUUUCAAUCUGUAAAGCAUAACAACACAUCGACGAAAAUAGUCACUGAAAGAAGUUUUUCUUAAGAAGAAGAUUUUUGCUGAGCUACGUGACUUCUUAAGGACAACCGAAGGACUAAACAACCUUUGAUUUUUGCUGUUUUCUCGGCACAAGUGUGAUCUUAACAUGUUGAACAGAAAUCGUAAAAACACAAGCAGUGAGCAUUGGCUGUAUGGACAACAACAGCCAGUUCAUUACAACCCUUUUGGGCAGGAUUGUUUUGCUAUUUAAUAUGUGACUUUAGCAAAAUGGAGCACAUUAAGAAGAAAAUAUUUUGCUUAAUUUGUGCAAUCGUCCUGACUUCAAUAACCGCAGAAAUGGGAAGAUCUUCGCCUGACAUUGUUGAUCAAUGCAGUUGCAGCUUUGACGCUGGAAAUCUAUGCAACUGGUCACACGACACGACCAUGUCACUUCUGUGGAGCUAUUCGGCUAAUGUUACUACAACUAAAAUGACUAGUCCUUCCAAGUAUUCAGGUAUGCUUUAAAACAUGUUGUUACAGUCAAAACGGUUCAAGGUAAUCCCCCCCCU
Actinia tenebrosa (Australian red waratah sea anemone) is the source of this 811-nucleotide unclassified non-coding RNA. NCBI's taxonomy places the organism in Eukaryota, Metazoa, Cnidaria, Anthozoa, Actiniaria, Actiniidae. The record is from RefSeq and is a predicted model, not a curated record.